Molecule: unclassified non-coding RNA, 380 nt
Filed under: Hevea brasiliensis (rubber tree)
Lineage: Eukaryota; Viridiplantae; Streptophyta; Magnoliopsida; Malpighiales; Euphorbiaceae
Source: RNAcentral
GCAGCAUGGAGACACACAACUUUUCUUUCUCAAGUGUCAACCUUAUAAAGAAUAGAUUCAAUUUUUAAUUUUUCAGGAUAAAAGUAAUGACCAAAUAAAAUUGCAUCCACCUCGACUAAUCCACAGGAUACCUGCUGUUGCACCCCUUCUCAAAACCGGUUUAAGUUGAAGUGCACGGUUUUGUAAGGGUAUCUACACCUGCCACCUCCCACCAGUACAGACUACAGAUCGAAGACAAAUUUAUCCAUCAUGGCUUAGGUAUAGGCGAAGAAAUGACCUAGUACUUUUCGUCUCUAUUGAGAUUUUAACUUUAGUUUCCCAGGCCUUUCCAACAUCAUUAACCACUAGAUCACACAAUUAUGUGUCAAACUUAAGCUAUU